Molecule: transfer RNA, 86 nt
Filed under: Candidatus Nomurabacteria bacterium
Lineage: Bacteria; Candidatus Nomuraibacteriota
Description: tRNA-Leu
Rfam family: tRNA
About the family: Transfer RNA (tRNA) molecules are approximately 80 nucleotides in length.
Source: RNAcentral
GGGCGAGUGAUGAAAUGGUAUACAUGGUAGACUCAAAAUCUGCUGGCCGCAAGGCCGUGAGGGUUCAAGUCCCUCCUCGCCCACCA